CCUACGGGGGGCUGCAGUGGGGAAUAUUGGACAAUGGGGGGAACCCUGAUCCAGCCAUGCCGCGUGUGUGAAGAAGGCCCUCGGGUUGUAAAGCACUUUCAGUGAGGAAGAACGCCUGGUGGUUAAUACCCAUCAGGAAAGACAUCACUCACAGAAGAAGCACCGGCUAACUCCGUGCCAGCAGCCGCGGUAAUACGGAGGGUGCGAGCGUUAAUCGGAAUUACUGGGCGUAAAGCGCGCGUAGGUGGCUUGAUAAGCCGGUUGUGAAAGCCCCGGGCUCAACCUGGGAACGGCAUCCGGAACUGUCAAGCUAGAGUGCAGGCGAGGAAGGUAGAAUUCCCGGUGUAGCGGUGAAAUGCGUAGAGAUCGGGAGGAAUACCAGUGGCGAAGGCGGCCUUCUGGACUGACACUGACACUGAGGUGCGAAAGCGUGGGUAGCAAACAGGAUUAGAUACCCCUGUAGUC
Molecule: ribosomal RNA, 465 nt
Filed under: Vreelandella stevensii
Lineage: Bacteria; Pseudomonadati; Pseudomonadota; Gammaproteobacteria; Oceanospirillales; Halomonadaceae
Description: partial 16S ribosomal RNA
Rfam family: Bacterial small subunit ribosomal RNA
Source: RNAcentral